AUCAUCAGUAGUGGUUAAUACUAUCUCAAGAUAAUAUUAAUUACAAUUACAUUAUAGAAACCUUAUAUCAUUUUUCUCUCUCAAUCUCCCAAUGUCGUGCAGGGGACUCUUGCGAGUCUUUCUAUAUGACACUAGUUAAUACUGGAUUGAGGUCUAAUUUGAUCAUUUUUUAACCCAUAGCUGAGUGUACCUUGACUAGCCCCAAACAGGCUAGGCACAAGGUUCACUUCGUUUCCGGUUUCUUAGAGCAAAGUUUAUGUGUUGAGGAAGGUCCCUCCUCUCGAGACAUCUCUUCGGGGAUGGACAUCGAUGUGGGAUUAGUUGUAUGUUUACAUUUUUGGAAAUGGUGUAAUACCAUAGCCUGUUGUAUUCCACUGUACCGCUUCCUCAAGAUAAUACAUUU
This 403-nucleotide small nucleolar RNA is filed under the name Maudiozyma saulgeensis. RNAcentral's name for it is "Kazachstania saulgeensis Small nucleolar RNA snR37". It matches the Rfam family "Small nucleolar RNA snR37". The record is from Rfam by way of RNAcentral. Lineage: Eukaryota; Fungi; Ascomycota; Saccharomycetes; Saccharomycetales; Saccharomycetaceae.